This 462-nucleotide ribosomal RNA is filed under the name uncultured bacterium. RNAcentral describes it as "bacterial SSU rRNA". It matches the Rfam family "Bacterial small subunit ribosomal RNA", at positions 329 to 802 of the family's 1533-position model. The record is from RNAcentral.
AUCGUAACUCCUACGGGAGGCAGCAGUGGGGAAUAUUGCACAAUGGGCGAAAGCCUGAUGCAGCGACGCCGCGUGAGGGAUGACGGCCUUCGGGUUGUAAACCUCUUUCAGCUCUGACGAAGCUUUUUGUGACGGUAGGAGCAGAAGAAGCACCGGCUAACUACGUGCCAGCAGCCGCGGUAAUACGUAGGGUGCGAGCGUUGUCCGGAAUUAUUGGGCGUAAAGAGCUUGUAGGCGGCUUGUCGCGUCUGCUGUGAAAGCCCGGGGCUUAACUCCGGGUCUGCAGUGGGUACGGGCAGGCUAGAGUGUGGUAGGGGAGACUGGAAUUCCUGGUGUAGCGGUGGAAUGCGCAGAUAUCAGGAGGAACACCGAUGGCGAAGGCAGGUCUCUGGGCCAUUACUGACGCUGAGAAGCGAAAGCGUGGGGAGCGAACAGGAUUAGAUACCCUUGUAGUCCUAGAGC